This is a long non-coding RNA of Amphiprion ocellaris (clown anemonefish), 1125 nucleotides long. Lineage: Eukaryota; Metazoa; Chordata; Actinopteri; Pomacentridae. The record is from Ensembl.
AACAGAUUUGGAUGAAAUUUUCAGUGAAGGUCAGAAAUGACACAAGGACCAAGUGAUUAGAUUUUGGCAGCAAUGCAGCUUAUAGUCUGAAUCCACGGAUUUGUUUAAGAUUUCUGUAUCAUUGCAAGAUAGACAGCGUCACUGUAACUAUGACAACAAGUGAACACUUGUCAGCUGCCUGCUGAUGAUCACAUGAUUGUGAUUCUAUGAUAAAUCCACCACUGUGGACUUAUCAGGACUUAUCCAUCUGAAAUGAUACAAGAAACAAUUGAUUAAAUUGUGGGGGUAUUUCUGAGUCCCAUUAAUUCCUGCCGCCUGCUACAUAUUUAGGUCACGUGAUUCGGUAUCUGUACAUAAUGUACACAUGCAUAACACGCCUGUGCUCAGCGCAAGGUCAUUUUGUUUGUGGGUACAUCUAUAUGUGACCGGCUGAUUAGCCAUCAUGCCAUACAGCUGUGGGGGAACUAAUGAUUGGUUUGGCCGUUGCAGCAGGGGGUUCGAAUUGAUUGACGGACAUAGCGCCAGUAUACUCCUGAACACUCCCGGACAGGUACGCGCUGUGCAGCACGCAAAACACUGAUAUUGAGAGAUUCAACACUGUGAACCCUCCUGAGCUGGGAUUCCCCUUGCUGCGCGUGGGGCUUAGCAUGGUCGGGUUUUUUUUGGAUCGGAUUUGGAAAUCUUGAGAAGAGCCAAGGAUCAAUUUCCAGUACUGGAUGGCAAGCAUCAUACCAAAGAGUCGAACAAACUGGUAGCUUGUAACCCAACUGGUUACAAACACACACCUGUGAACACUGAACUUUGAACCAUUGACACUGAAAGAUUGAAAGACUGAAACAAACAAAAAAAAAACAAACACUAAAGACAAAAAGGACUUUUUAUUUCAUUUUGUUUAUCUUUCAUUCUCUUUUUGAAAGCUCUUUUUUUUUUUUUUAAUACUGUGCACAGACCCCUUCACAAUUUAAACUUUGCAAUUAAAUGCAAAUUGUCUUUUAAUACGGUGUCAUCUCCCUUGUUUUCGCACACCCUGGCCUCCUGCGAAUUUAAAGUCUUCUGAUCUGGCCUAUCCUCUUUUCUACUGUAGUACUUUGGUUAAAGGUAACUGUACAAAGACAGUACAGAAGC